GAGACCCUACACUGUGGGAUGAGCCCACAAGUUUCAAGCCUGAGAGAUUUGAAUCUGCAGGCAGAGUUGAUGCAUGCAAGUUCAUCCCCUUUGGGAUGGGAAGGAGAGCUUGUCCUGGAGAUGGCCUAGCAAAAAGAGUAAUGAUAUUAACUUUGGGAUCGUUGAUACAGUGCUUUGAGUGGAAUAGAGUUGGUGAAAGCAAGAUUGACAUGGCAGAGAAGACAGCACUGACCAUGUUCAAAGUUGAGCCCUUAGAGCUCAUGUGUAGAGCUCGCCCGAUUCUAGACAUGCUUCUCUUGUAGGUGAUCAAAAAAUAUAAGAUUGUCAAGAGUGCUGGCAAUAUUAUAUGGAUGUUUUUAUUUUCAAAAAAUAAUAAUA
This 378-nucleotide long non-coding RNA is filed under the name Populus trichocarpa (black cottonwood). RNAcentral's name for it is "long non-coding RNA (PTRI_LNC000815)". The record is from RNAcentral. Lineage: Eukaryota; Viridiplantae; Streptophyta; Magnoliopsida; Malpighiales; Salicaceae.